AUAGUUUAGGGUUUAGGGUUUAU
This 23-nucleotide small RNA is filed under the name Arabidopsis thaliana (thale cress). RNAcentral's name for it is "ATSL076290". The record is from RNAcentral. Lineage: Eukaryota; Viridiplantae; Streptophyta; Magnoliopsida; Brassicales; Brassicaceae.